UGGAAACGACUGCUAAUACCGCAUAAGCCCACGGCUCGGCAUCGAGCAGAGGGAAAAGGAGCAAUCCGCUUUGAGAUGGCCUCGCGUCCGAUUAGCUAGUUGGUGAGGUAACGGCCCACCAAGGCGACGAUCGGUAGCCGGACUGAGAGGUUGAACGGCCACAUUGGGACUGAGACACGGCCCAGACUCCUACGGGAGGCAGCAGUGGGGAAUAUUGCACAAUGGGGGAAACCCUGAUGCAGCGACGCCGCGUGGAGGAAGAAGGUCUUCGGAUUGUAAACUCCUGUUGUUGAGGAAGAUAAUGACGGUACUCAACAAGGAAGUGACGGCUAACUACGUGCCAGCAGCCGCGGUAAAACGUAGGUCACAAGCGUUGUCCGGAAUUACUGGGUGUAAAGGGAGCGCAGGCGGGAGAACAAGUUGGAAGUGAAAUCCAUGGGCUCAACCCAUGAACUGCUUUCAAAACUGUUUUUCUUGAGUAGUGCAGAGGUAGGCGGAAUUCCCGGUGUAGCGGUGGAAUGCGUAGAUAUCGGGAGGAACACCAGUGGCGAAGGCGGCCUACUGGGCACCAACUGACGCUGAGGCUCGAAAGUGUGGGUAGCAAACAGGAUUAGAUACCCUGGU
Molecule: ribosomal RNA, 624 nt
Filed under: uncultured bacterium
Lineage: Bacteria
Description: bacterial SSU rRNA
Rfam family: Bacterial small subunit ribosomal RNA
Source: RNAcentral